AGCAGCCGCGGUAAUUCCAGCUCCAAUAGCGUAUAUUAAAGUUGUUGCAGUUAAAAAGCUCGUAGUUGAAUUUCGGGGUUAGUAGAUUGGUCAUGCCUCUGGUAUGUACUGGUCUCACUGAUUCCUCCUUCCUGAUGAACCUUAAUGCCAUUAAUUUGGUGUUUUGGGGAAUUUGGACUGUUACUUUGAAAAAAUUAGAGUGUUUAAAGCAAGCUAACGCUUGAAUACAUUAGCAUGGAAUAAUGAAAUAGGACGUUCGAUCCUAUUUUGUUGGUUUCUAGGAUUGACGUAAUGAUUAAUAGGGAUAGUUGGGGGCAUUAGUAUUCAAUUGUCAGAGGUGAAAUUCUUGGAUUUAUUGAAGACUAACUACUGCGAAAGCAUUUGCCAAGGAUGUUUUCAUUAAUCAAGAACGAAAGUUAGGGGAUCGAAGACGAUCAGAUACCGUCGUAGUCUUAACCAUAAACUAUGCCGACUAGGGAUCGGAUGAUGUUAAUUUUUUAAUGACUCAUUCGGCGCCUUACG
RNAcentral lists this ribosomal RNA (522 nucleotides) under uncultured Glomeraceae. RNAcentral describes it as "SSU rRNA". It matches the Rfam family "Eukaryotic small subunit ribosomal RNA", at positions 569 to 1092 of the family's 1831-position model. The record is from RNAcentral. Lineage: Eukaryota; Fungi; Glomeromycota; Glomeromycetes; Glomerales; Glomeraceae.